AACCCAUGGUGAGGCCACUUUCUCAAUAUGUCCUUAUACCUCUCCCAUGUAUCAUACAGAGUCUCUAAAUCCAUUUGCACGAAGGAAGAUAUAUCAUUCCUCAGCUU
Gossypium arboreum is the source of this 107-nucleotide small nucleolar RNA. It matches the Rfam family "Plant small nucleolar RNA R71". Rfam says of the family: R71 is a member of the C/D box family of snoRNAs containing the C (UGAUGA) and D (CUGA) box motifs. Multiple nearly identical copies of this snoRNA have been identified in Arabidopsis, and it is thought to function as a 2'-O-ribose methylation guide for 18S ribosomal RNA. The record is from Rfam. Lineage: Eukaryota; Viridiplantae; Streptophyta; Magnoliopsida; Malvales; Malvaceae.